This 254-nucleotide ribosomal RNA is filed under the name uncultured bacterium. Its description in RNAcentral is "partial 16S ribosomal RNA". It matches the Rfam family "Bacterial small subunit ribosomal RNA", at positions 524 to 777 of the family's 1533-position model. The record is from RNAcentral.
UACAGAGGCCUCGAGCGUUAGGCGGAAUCACUGGGCUUAAAGCGUGUGUAGGCGGACUUCUAAGUACCUUGUGAAAUCCCACGGCUUACCCGUGGAACGGCUGGGUAUACUGGUCGUCUUGAGCCAUCUAGGGGCUACCGGAACAAAUGGUGGAGCGGUGAAAUGCGUAGAUAUCGGAAGGAACAUCAGUGGCGAAAGCGGCUUCCUGGACCAGAACUGACGAUCAGGCACGAAAGCGUGGGGAGCAAACAGGG